CCUACGGGUGGCUGUAGUUUCGAAUCAUUCACAAUGGGCGAAAGCCUGAUGGUGCGACGCCGCGUGAGGGAUGAAGGUCUUCGGAUUGUAAACCUCUGUCACUGGGGAAGAAACGCUUUGAGUUAAUAGUUCAAAGCCUGACUUAACCCGGAGAGGAAGCAGUGGCUAACUCUGUGCCAGCAGCCGCGGUAAUACAGAGACUGCAAGCGUGAUUCGGAUUCACUGGGCGGAGGCCGUGCGUAGGCGGCCGGAAAUCCCGGAGCUUAACUCCGGAACUGCGCCUCAAACUACACGGCUAGAGCAUUGGAGAGGGAAGUGGAAUUCACGGUGUAGCAGUGAAAUGCGUAGAUAUCGUGAGGAACACCAGUGGCGAAGGCGACUUCCUGGACAAUUGCUGACGCUCAGGCACGAAAGCGUGGGGAGCAAAAGGGAUUAGAUACCCCAGUAGUC
This 450-nucleotide ribosomal RNA is filed under the name uncultured bacterium. RNAcentral's name for it is "partial 16S ribosomal RNA". It matches the Rfam family "Bacterial small subunit ribosomal RNA", at positions 338 to 795 of the family's 1533-position model. The record is from RNAcentral.